CAGUCGCCGCGGGAAUACGGAGGGUGCGAGCGUUACCCGGAUUUACUGGGCGUAAAGGGCUCGCAGGCGGUUUCUUAAGUCCGUUGUGAAAGCCCUGGGCUCAACCUGGGAAUUGCAGUGGAUACUGGAUCACUAGAGUGUGGUAGAGGAUAGUGGAAUUUCCGGUGUAGCAGUGAAAUGCGUAGAGAUCGGAAGGAACAUCUGUGGCGAAGGCGACUAUCUGGGCCAACACUGACACUGAGGCACGAAAGCGUGGGGAGCAAACAGGAUUAGAUACCCCAGUAGUCCCUGUCUCUUAUAC
Molecule: ribosomal RNA, 301 nt
Filed under: uncultured bacterium
Lineage: Bacteria
Description: partial 16S ribosomal RNA
Rfam family: Bacterial small subunit ribosomal RNA
Source: RNAcentral